GUGGGGAAUAUUGGACAAUGGGCGAAAGCCUGAUCCAGCAAUGCCGCGUGGGUGAAGAAGGUCUUCGGAUUGUAAAUCCCUUUCGGCGGGGACGAUGAUGACGGUACCCGCAGAAGAAGCUCCGGCUAACUUCGUGCCAGCAGCCGCGGUAAUACGAAGGGGGCUAGCGUUGCUCGGAAUGACUGGGCGUAAAGGGCGCGUAGGCGGUUCGUACAGUUGGGUGUGAAAUUCCUGGGCUUAACCUGGGGGCUGCACCCAAUACGUGCGGGCUUGAGUGUGGAAGAGGGUCGUGGAAUUCCCAGUGUAGAGGUGAAAUUCGUAGAUAUUGGGAAGAACACCGGUGGCGAAGGCGGCGACCUGGUCCAUUACUGACGCUGAGGCGCGAAAGCGUGGGGAGCAAACAGGAUUAGAUACCCUGGUAGUCC
This 425-nucleotide ribosomal RNA is filed under the name uncultured bacterium. RNAcentral's name for it is "bacterial SSU rRNA". It matches the Rfam family "Bacterial small subunit ribosomal RNA", at positions 354 to 796 of the family's 1533-position model. The record is from RNAcentral.